AUACGUAAGCCCCAAGCAUUACCCGGAAUCACUGGGUGUAAAGGGUUCGUAGGUGGAAAAGUAAGUUAGGUAUGAAAGACCGGAGCUCAACUCCGUGUUUGUAUUUAAAACUGCUUUUCUAGAAUCAGGGAGAGGUAAGCGGAAUUCUAAGUGUAGGGGUGCAAUCCGUAGAUACUUAGAAGAACACCAAAAGCGAAGGCAGCUUACUGGAACUGUAUUGACACUGAGGAACGAAAGCAUGGGUAGCGAAAAGGAUUAGAAACCCUAGUAGUCC
RNAcentral lists this ribosomal RNA (274 nucleotides) under uncultured bacterium. RNAcentral's name for it is "partial 16S ribosomal RNA". It matches the Rfam family "Bacterial small subunit ribosomal RNA", at positions 523 to 796 of the family's 1533-position model. The record is from RNAcentral.